GUUUUUGUUACAAAAUAAAUUAAUCGAUCCAAAUCACACAAUAUAGUUUUUAAAUAUUCGUUUUAUUUUUUAUUAUAACAAAAGCACAUUAUUAUACUUGCGAGAUUCGACGUUUACCGAUGAAAGGUUAACUUAACCUAAAAAGUGAAGUUAACCUACCCAAGUGAAACUCUCUAGUAUUUUUCAGGACUGGUAACUUGAGAGUAAGCCAGUGUCUCCCUCUUUCGUUCGUUUCAUGCUAACACGGAAUUCCUGUAUCCACGGUCUGUUAAAUUAAAUUCUUAAAUUUUUAAUUUGUGCAAAGUAUAAUUGAAAAAAAGUUGAAAGAAAACGAGGAAAUCAGUAGCUUAACGCAAGAACGAAUCUUCUUCCGAAAUGGUAGUGGAAAGACUUAGCCAGGAGGCUAGACGUUGAGCAACGGAAUACGAGCGGAAUAUAUCUCUACGGGCUAUCUAACCGCUAGUUAAAAUUAUCGGCACGCGGAUCGACUGGUCCUUCGGGCAAAGUGCAUAUUGUGCGCGGAUCUAUGAACGCGAACACGUCGAAGGGAAUUAUUGCACGCUCGAAUUAUGGUUACUAUGCGGCUGAAGAAUUUCUUUGCUGGGGAUGCAUACCGGCAGAUCCUGCAUCUAUUAAACGCUUGAGCCAGGACAUUGACAUCGACGUUCAUAAUUAACUCUUUAACCAUAACAAAUUGAAUUGAAUGCAGAUCGACAAGUGAGAAAAUAAAUAUAUAAUUAGAGAAAGUGAUAUAAAUUGCACGUUAAAGGAAUGCAAAUAAUCGCAGUGUAGAGAAAAAUUCAUUUUUUAUAAUUUUUAUGAAGAGAAAACUUCCAUUUGAAAGAAGAUAGAAAGAUUUUUUUCUUUCUGGAUUCGAGUAGACCUUAUACUUGCCAGAUAAUGAUUAAUAAGUAAAAAAAUUGGAAAUUUUAAUUUAUGUGUAGAAAAUAAAUAGUAUUAUAGGGUAAAUAUGGUAGCAAUGAUAAAAAUUUCCAAUAAGAAGAACGCAUAUAUGGGCAAGAAGCAAUCAAAGGUUGAUAGGCAUCCGAUUGCAUUCAAGAGACUCGAAGAAAGAAAUUGGAAAGAGGCGGCGAUUAAUCGAACGUACGUGCACAGCUUUGAAUCAAGUUUAACAGAGGCAAAAACCGCAAUAAAACCAAACUGGGCGAUUCUGUUACGUGAUUAACGUCGAUCAGGUGGAAUACCAGACGAAAAGGAGACAGAUUCGCAACUAAUCUUAACAAGUGACACAAAGUUUUUAGUUGAAUCAUCGAGCACCCGUAUUAAUGUAAUACCAGUAAUUCGAUUUCAAAUCGCCGUUAAAAUUAAAGAAGAAAUUAAUUUCUAUCAGCAAGUUUUAUACGACAUGGAAAGUUUUUAAGUAGAUUAGUCGAUAAGUAAGUUAUUUCUCUCUAUUAACUUUCGUUCUGAAAAAGAUAUUUAAGUAAUUAUGCCGCUAGAUGGCUACAUUGUCGCCGCUGUACAGUAAAUAUCAUUUCAAUUGCAUCAAGGAAUCGCAUAUAGUUUGUUAAACACGAAACAUCGUGUAAUAGAGAUAUGUCGAAAUGGAAUGCAUAUAUUUCAGAUUUUUGAGGAGAAAAAAUUAUUUCCAGCGUAUUUUUAUCAUUCAGAUAUAUCACGUUUUCACAAAUGAAGAAAUAUAUUAUUGGAAAUUAUUUUAACAUGGAUGACGAAGUGAGGUAUGCAUCUUGUUUAAAAUGUUGAGUAAUCGAAUGGAAAUUCUUUCAAGACGUAAUGUAUAAAUUAGAUCCACGUUCCGAUAAAUUUUUGCAGAUGAUGAAGUAUUAGUUGAGAAAUAGUAUUUGAAUGUUAAUAAAUUUCUAUUAGUUACAUUAGCUA
Molecule: long non-coding RNA, 1860 nt
Organism: Apis mellifera (honey bee)
Lineage: Eukaryota; Metazoa; Arthropoda; Insecta; Hymenoptera; Apidae
Exons: 2
Source: RefSeq, a predicted model, not a curated record